GGAGGGUGCGAGCGUUAAUCGGAAUUACUGGGCGUAAAGCGUGCGUAGGCGGUUUGUUAAGUCAGCUGUGAAAGCCCCGGGCUCAACCUGGGAACUGCAGUUGAUACUGGCCGACUAGAGUACGAGAGAGGGAGGUAGAAUUCCAUGUGUAGCGGUGAAAUGCGUAGAUAUAUGGAGGAAUACCAGUGGCGAAGGCGGCCUCCUGGCUCGAUACUGACGCUGAGGUGCGAAAGCGUGGGGAUCAAACAGGAUUAGAUACCCUGGUAGUCCACGCCGUAAACGAUGUCUACUAGCCGUUGGGAGACUUGAUUUCUUAGUGGCGCAGCUAACGCAAUAAGUAGACCGCCUGGGGAGUACGGCCGCAAGGUUA
RNAcentral lists this ribosomal RNA (370 nucleotides) under uncultured bacterium. Its description in RNAcentral is "bacterial SSU rRNA". It matches the Rfam family "Bacterial small subunit ribosomal RNA", at positions 527 to 896 of the family's 1533-position model. The record is from RNAcentral.